CAUUAGUUGUAUAUUUGAUAUCCGUUUAAUCUUCACAACUCUAUGACAUAAUGUUGUUACCCCUUUUACAGAUGAGGAAAUUGAGGAACAUGGUAGGAAAGUCUGGAGUCAGUCCUCUGCUAAACCUUAAGACUGGGAAGACCCGAAAUCCAGGCCAGAAAUUCCAGCCAGACUCUGCACAGAGCCAACUGGAUGCAUCUCACACUCAACAGGCCCUGGAGAUAUGAACUGCUCUUGGUCCACACAGCUAAAUAUAUCUCCCUUAGGCUGACGGCUUCUCGAAAGUUACUGAAAUAAUUUACCUCAAGUGGCCAUUUGUCGUGUGGUGAUUUGAAUAAGCAAAGCUUGAUCCAAUUCGAGUUUGAUUCUAGAGUGCCAUUUACUUCACAAUUGUUUAUUAAAUGCUGGUAAUGUGCUAGAUACGGCCCUAGCUGUGGGGCCAGAGUACAGAGUUACUCUCUAGCAGGUGAAAGAGGAAGAAUGAAACCAAUAGGUACCUACCUAAACAAUUUCAGGUAAGGAUAAACAUCAUGGAGGUGAGAAGGCCAGGCGAGUGAGUGAGAGCGUGAAGACAUGUGGUUGGUAUGCAGAGGGUUCUCUGAAGCAGUGUGGCUGCCAGCAGGUUUAAACUCCACCAUGGGCAUCAUUCCUCAGAAGAUCUCCAGGAGGAAGGUAUUAUGAUCUUUAUUUUACUGAGGACGAAUGAGGCUUCCAGAAGUUAAAACCUUACCUGAGUUGCAAAGCUCAGAAGUGGCUGGCUGGGAUUCGAACCACAUCCCUUGCACACCAGGUCUGUUAACUUCCCUGGCGUUGUGCUCGGUUCACUAUAAAAUGAGUGGGUUAGAGAAAGAUGGCUUCUAAAGGUCUUUCUUCUAAAAUCCUAUAUGUGGCAGGGAGCUGGCAAGGGAGGUUAUGUGUGCCUGGGUGGCUCAGUUGCUUAAGUAUCUGACUCUUGAUUUCAGCUCAGGUCUUGAUCUCAGGGUUGUGAGUUCCAGUUCCAUGCUGGACAUAGACCUUACUUAAAUAAUAAGUUAAAAAUAAGUUAAAAAUAGAAGUGCCUGGGUGGCUCAGUGGUUGAACAUCUGCCUUCGGCUCAGGUCGUGAUUCCAGGGUUCUGGGAUCGAGUCCUGCAUUGGGCUCCCCACGGGGAGCCAGCUUCUCCCUCUGCUGUGUCUCUGCCUCUCUCUCUUUCUCUCUCUCAUGAAUAAAAUAAAAUCUUAAAAAAAUAAUAAAUUGGGA
Molecule: long non-coding RNA, 1239 nt
Filed under: Vulpes vulpes (red fox)
Lineage: Eukaryota; Metazoa; Chordata; Mammalia; Carnivora; Canidae
Description: lncRNA (ENSVVUG00000004048.1)
Source: RNAcentral